Molecule: long non-coding RNA, 1870 nt
Filed under: Homo sapiens (human)
Lineage: Eukaryota; Metazoa; Chordata; Mammalia; Primates; Hominidae
Description: HSALNT0205881
Source: RNAcentral
ACAGGGUCUCAAUACAAUGUCCAGGCUGGUCUCAAACUCCUGGCCUCAAGCAGUCCUCCUGCCUCGGCCUCCCAAAGUCCUGGGAUUACAGGUAUGAGACACUGUGCUGGGCCCCUGUCAAUUUUGGAAGGAUCCAGUUGUGUUUCUUCAUUCAUUUAACACAUAUUUGUAGAAAGCAAAUCCGUGCCAGGCAUAGAUGCUUGAGAUUCAUUAGCCAACGAAACAGAAAACAACCUGUGACCUCAUGGAGCCUCCAUCCCUAGCGGGACGGGUACAGCAGGGGCUUCACCCAGAGAGGCUUCCUGUGAAAACGCCCACUGGGUCCUGGGGAACUGGGAAUCCCCGGCCGCUUCUGCACAGGGCUCCUGGGUGGUUUCCUGUUUCGGCUCCACAGCCGGGGGAAGUUUCUGCUGUUUGCUCCUCUGCACUCUAAGCGGAGAUGUGCACACUCGCGAGCAGGGAUUUUUCUGGUUCAGGAAAGUCCUGCGUCCUUGGGCGCACUUUCACAAGUGUGAGAAAGCCAGUUCAAAUGUGACUUCCCGUGAGAAACCCUGCCUGGCCUCCCGCCCUCCCCGGCACUCUCAGCAUGAAUCAUGCUGCGUUGUCACUAUUGUCUUGCUCAUCUGUGCCUGUCGCAUUCCCUGAGUUCCUCCUGGCGGGGUCUCGGCCUUGUUCAUCUUUGGACCUGGUGGCCAGCACAGAGAAUGUGCUCAAUGAAUGUUUGCUGGAUUGAAUGACACACCCUCAGGUCCAAGUGGGCCAUGCCCCUCUGCCUGCAGCCUGGUGGCCGUCAGGGUCAGGGCUCCCAUGCUUUCUGAUACCCGGGAGGAUGGGUCUCUGACCAUGGGAUUUUGAAAUAGCAAUGAGCCUGAAUAACAUUUUGAGAUACUGGCAACAACGAAAGUGUGGAAUGAAACUUCCCGUUAUUUCUGCUGGCUAACACUAAGUGGUUGCCACCUAUGUUCAUAAUACAAGGAACUGCUCAGUUUCAACCAGAGACAAGGAGGCUCUGUCCAAGCUCCUGUCCUGGCUCGCUCAGCCCAGCCUUCAGGUUCUCAGCCCAACACGAGGGUCUCCUUGGGUAGUCAGCUCAAUCAUUUCAAGCUAUUAAUCAACGGACUUCUCCUGAAUGCAUCCAGACCUCUCCUCAAGGCUCUUGCUCCGUCGCCCAGGCUGAAGUGCAGUGGAGCGAUCACGAUCACGGUUCGCUGCAGCUUCAAACUCCUGAGCUCAAACGAUCCUCCCCGCUCAGCCUCCCAAGUAGCUGGGACUACUGGCACAUGCCACCACCCCUGGCUGAAAAUCACUCAUUUUUAAUGAGAAAAUGAAGCGGGAAAGGAAGCUACUCACAACAGCAACAAGAUCCGUACUAUAACCAAGAAUGAAACCAGAAUAUAGAGUUUUUGUGAUUAGAACGGGCAAAUAAAAGAACAAAGCUGAGUGGAGAGUCCAGAAUUCUCAGCCACUCCACUCCUAAGAAUCUGCCGUUUUUAAAAAGUGGACAUGUGCACAAAGGUAUACGUACAAAGAGGCUCAGAAAUAACAUUUGCAAGGGCAAAAACAUUGAGGCCAAUGCGAGUUUUUAUCAACAGGAGAAUGGUUAAAUGAAUAAUGUUAUAUCACAUUUGCAGUGUUUUAUUUAGAAAGGAAGCAUUGCUGUGAGUUCUGACAUGGAAUGAUCUCGGUGGUAUAUUGAAAAGCAAGUUCUAAUAUAAUUCCUCAAGCAUAAAAAAAACUAUAUGUUGAUAUAUUUAUGGAUAGAGGUAAUUGCAUAGAAAAAUGCCUGGAAAGAUACAUGUCAAACCAUUAUUGUGGUUAGUUCUGGGGGCCAUUUCCUUUAGAAAUUUUCUAUGAGAAUGGCCGGGUGCGG